UCAUUCGGAUUCACCAUCAUACGUCCAACCGUGCAUUUGAUAUGCAUAUAUAUGCAUCACGAGCAACGGCUGGGCUGUAUGAUGGCGAUACCGAUUGG
This 98-nucleotide microRNA precursor is filed under the name Triticum aestivum (bread wheat). RNAcentral describes it as "MIR9666 microRNA precursor family". It matches the Rfam family "MIR9666 microRNA precursor family". The record is from Rfam by way of RNAcentral. Lineage: Eukaryota; Viridiplantae; Streptophyta; Magnoliopsida; Poales; Poaceae. RNAcentral also lists the same sequence under 1 other name.